This 333-nucleotide ribosomal RNA is filed under the name uncultured eukaryote. RNAcentral describes it as "partial 18S ribosomal RNA". It matches the Rfam family "Eukaryotic small subunit ribosomal RNA", at positions 1470 to 1796 of the family's 1831-position model. The record is from RNAcentral.
CCCUUAGAUGUCCGGGGCCGCACGCGCGCUACACUGAAGGAAUCAGCGUGGCUUCUCCCUGACCCGAAAGGGUUGGGAAACCCGUUGAAUCUCCUUCGUGAUAGGGAUUGGGGCUUGAAAUUGUUCCCCAUGAACGAGGAAUUCCCAGUAAGCGCGAGUCAUAAGCUCGCGUUGAUUACGUCCCUGCCCUUUGUACACACCGCCCGUCGCUACUACCGAUUGAACGGUUUAGUGAGGGCCUCGGAUUGGUCUCGGCCCGCUCUUUACCGGGCGGCGCCGUUGGUCGAGAAGACGCUCGAACUUGAUCGUUUAGAGGAAGUAAAAGUCGUAACA